Molecule: ribosomal RNA, 414 nt
Filed under: Babesia canis canis
Lineage: Eukaryota; Apicomplexa; Aconoidasida; Piroplasmida; Babesiidae
Description: SSU rRNA
Rfam family: Eukaryotic small subunit ribosomal RNA
Source: RNAcentral
GCAAUCUACCCAAUCCUGACACAGGGAGGUAGUGACAAGAAAUAACAAUACAGGGCGAAUGUCUUGUAAUUGGAAUGAUGGUGACCCAAACCCUCACCAGAGUAGCAAUUGGAGGGCAAGUCUGGUGCCAGCAGCCGCGGUAAUUCCAGCUCCAAUAGCGUAUAUUAAACUUGUUGCAGUUAAAAAGCUCGUAGUUGUAUUUUUGCGUUGACGGUUUGACCAUUUGGUUGGUUAUUUCGUUUUCGCUUUUGGGAAUUUCCCUUUUUACUUUGAGAAAAUUAGAGUGUUUCAAGCAGACUUUUGUCUUGAAUACUUCAGCAUGGAAUAAUAGAGUAGGACUUUGGUUCUAUUUUGUUGGUUAUUGAACCUUAGUAAUGGUUAAUAGGAACGGUUGGGGGCAUUUCGUAUUUAAAA